CCCUUCUCUUCAACCUAAAACCAUAACCUAAAGAGAGAAAUAAAAAAUCAUCCAAUCUCUAGCCUCUCAAUCUCUCUAAUCUCUUUCAAACUCCCUUUCUCUCAAUUUCUUUUGCGAUUUCAUAGCUAAUUUUGAUCGAGUUCUCGUGUGUCCGUUUGAUAUUGUGAGAAACAUGACCGGUCUUUGGUGGAAUGGCUAGCAAUGUGCAGCGGAGCCCUUGGUUGGAUUAGAUACAUGGUGAAAUUUGUGGCAGUUUUCAUCUCAUUCUGUGGAAGAUGGUCUUUUCCUUGAUUUUAUGUGAGGAUGGAAGUCAUGAAUCUGCAACUUCAAGACUUUCCUUCUCCUUGGUUUUUUUCUUUUUAUUUUGUAAUCUUUAUUGUAAAUCCUACUUGUAUUUUUAAUUUGUAAAGCUAACCAAAGUCAUCUCUGGAAGGAGGGGAAACUUCUUUUAUUUGUUCUACUUUGUAUUCUUUUCUUUUAUGGAUAUCAUUUGGUUUGGACUUCAGGCUUUUGGUUUUGGUUAUCAAAAUCAAUGUGUACGUUUUGAUUUAGUAACUUGGUGAGAAUAUGUUGUUUU
Cucumis sativus (cucumber) is the source of this 577-nucleotide long non-coding RNA. RefSeq lists it as uncharacterized. The transcript is spliced from 3 exons. The record is from RefSeq and is a predicted model, not a curated record. Lineage: Eukaryota; Viridiplantae; Streptophyta; Magnoliopsida; Cucurbitales; Cucurbitaceae.